RNAcentral lists this ribosomal RNA (254 nucleotides) under uncultured bacterium. RNAcentral describes it as "partial 16S ribosomal RNA". It matches the Rfam family "Bacterial small subunit ribosomal RNA", at positions 524 to 776 of the family's 1533-position model. The record is from RNAcentral.
UACGAAGGGGGGCUAGCGUUGCUCGGAAUCACUGGGCGUAAAGGGUGCGUAGGCGGGUUCUUAAGUCAGAGGUGAAAUCCUGGAGCUCAACUCCAGAACUGCCUUUGAUACUGAGAGUCUUGAGUACGGGAGAGGUGAGUGGAACUGCGAGUGUAGAGGUGAAAUUCGUAGAUAUUCGCAAGAACACCAGUGGCGAAGGCGGCUCACUGGCCCGUUACUGACGCUGAGGCACGAAAGCGUGGGGAGCAAACAGG